RNAcentral lists this ribosomal RNA (1757 nucleotides) under Epeirotypus chavarria. RNAcentral describes it as "SSU rRNA". It matches the Rfam family "Eukaryotic small subunit ribosomal RNA". Lineage: Eukaryota; Metazoa; Arthropoda; Arachnida; Araneae; Theridiosomatidae. The record is from RNAcentral.
UGCAUGUCUAAGUACAUGCCGCAUUAAGGCGAAACCGCGAAUGGCUCAUUAAAUCAGUUAUGGUUCCAUAGAUCGUACCUUACUACUUGGAUAACUGUGGCAAUUCUAGAGCUAAUACAUGCAGCAGAGCUCUGACUUUUGGGAAAGAGCGCCUUUAUUAGACCCAACCAAUCGGGCCGCCUGUCAAAACGGCGGUCCGCUAGAAACUGUGGCGAAUCUGAGUAACUUUUGGCAGAUCGCACGGGCUCGUCCCGGCGACGUAUCUUUCAAGUGUCUGCCUUAUCAACUGUCGAUGGUAGGUUACGCGCCUACCAUGGUCGUAACGGGUAACGGAGAAUAAGGGUUCGGUUCCGGAGAGGGAGCCUGAGAAACAGCUACCACAUCCAAGGAAGGCAGCAGGCGCGCAAAUUACCCACUCCCAGAACGGGGAGGUAGUGACGAAAAAUAACAAUACGGGACUCUUUUGAGACCCCGUAAUUGGAAUGAGCACAGAUUAAAACCUUGUACGAGGAACAAUUGGAGGGCAAGUCUGGUGCCAGCUGCCGCGGUAAUUCCAGCUCCAAUAGCGUAUAUUAAAGUUGUUGUGGUUAAAAAGCUCGUAGUUGGAUCUGCGUUGGCAUCCAACGGUCCGCCUAACGGCGGCUUACUGUUUUGUGGUGCGAACAGAUAUAGUCGGUUUCUCUUGAUGAUCUUCACCGGUUGUCUUGGGUUUACCGACAUGUUUACUUUGAAAAAAUUAGAGUGCUCAAUGCAGGCGUGACGCCUGAAUAAUGGUGCAUGGAAUAAUGGAAUAGGACCUCGGUUCUAUUUUUGUUGGUGUUCAAUGGACACGAGGUAAUGAUUAAGAGGGACAGACGGGGGCAUUCGUAUUGCGACGCUAGAGGUGAAAUUCUUGGACCGUCGCAAGACGAACUACUGCGAAAGCAUUUGCCAAGAAUGUUUCCGUUAAUCAAGAACGAAAGUUAGAGGCUCGAAGGCGAUCAGAUACCGCCCUAGUUCUAACCAUAAACGAUGCUAGCUAGCGAUCCGGCUGUGUUCCUCAAAUGACACGCUGGGCAGCUUCCGGGAAACCAAAGCUUUUGAGUUCCAGGGGAAGUAUGGUUGCAAAACUCAAACUUAAAGGAAUUGACGGAAGGGCACCACCAGGAGUGGAGUAUGCGGCUUAAUUUGACUCAACACGGGAUAGUCCACCCGAACAGGACACAUGAAGGAUUGACAGAUCAAUAGCUCUUUCUUGAUUCUGUGGGUUGUGGUGCAUGGUCGUUCUUAGUUGGUGGAGCGAUUUGUCUGGUCAAUUCCGAUAACGAACGAGACUCUAGCCUACUAAAUAGACGUUUCCGAUUUCCAUGGUUUGUCGGACGUUUUCCUCUUCUUAGGGGGACAGGCGGUAUUGAACCGCAUGAGAGAGAGCAAUAACAGGUCUGUGAUGCCCUUAGAUGCUCGGGGCUGCACGCGCACUACAUUGAAGGAAUCAGCGUGUGCUCUCCCGGUCCGAAAGGAUUGGGUAACCCAUUGAAACUCCUUCGUGCUUGGGAUUGGAGUUUGGAAUUGUCCUCCAUGAACGAGGAAUUCCUAGUAAUCAUGAGUCAUUAGCUUGUGUUGAAUAAGUCCCUGCCCUUUGUCCACACCGCCCGUCGCUACUACCGAUUGAAUGGUUUAGUGAGGUCUUCGGACUGGCUCUCGGAUUGGUUCCUUCGUGGACCGAGACGGUUGUGCCGGAAAGAUGAUCGAACUUGAUCAUUUAGAGGAAGUAAAAG